AUUGAACGCUGGCGGCAUGCCUUACACAUGCAAGUCGAACGGUAACGGGCCUUCGGGUGCCGACGAGUGGCGAACGGGUGAGUAAUACAUCGGAACGUGCCCGAUCGUGGGGGAUAACGAGGCGAAAGCUUUGCUAAUACCGCAUACGAUCUACGGAUGAAAGCAGGGGACCGCAAGGCCUUGCGCGGACGGAGCGGCCGAUGGCAGAUUAGGUAGUUGGUGGGAUAAAAGCUUACCAAGCCGACGAUCUGUAGCUGGUCUGAGAGGAUGAUCAGCCACACUGGGACUGAGACACGGCCCAGACUCCUACGGGAGGCAGCAGUGGGGAAUUUUGGACAAUGGGCGCAAGCCUGAUCCAGCCAUGCCGCGUGCAGGAUGAAGGCCUUCGGGUUGUAAACUGCUUUUGUACGGAACGAAAAGCCUUCUUUUAAUACGGGAGGGUCAUGACGGUACCGUAAGAAUAAGCACCGGCUAACUACGUG
RNAcentral lists this ribosomal RNA (482 nucleotides) under uncultured bacterium. RNAcentral describes it as "partial 16S ribosomal RNA". It matches the Rfam family "Bacterial small subunit ribosomal RNA", at positions 30 to 507 of the family's 1533-position model. The record is from RNAcentral.